UACGAAGGGGGCUAGCGUUGCUCGGAAUCACUGGGCGUAAAGCGCACGUAGGCGGAUUCUUAAGUCAGGGGUGAAAUCCUGGAGCUCAACUCCAGAACUGCCUUUGAUACUGAGGGUCUUGAGUUCGGGAGAGGUGAGUGGAACUGCGAGUGUAGAGGUGAAAUUCGUAGAUAUUCGCAAGAACACCAGUGGCGAAGGCGGCACUCUGGGCCGGUACUGACGCUGAGGAGCGAAAGCGUGGGGAGCGAACAGG
Molecule: ribosomal RNA, 253 nt
Filed under: uncultured bacterium
Lineage: Bacteria
Description: partial 16S ribosomal RNA
Rfam family: Bacterial small subunit ribosomal RNA
Source: RNAcentral